RNAcentral lists this ribosomal RNA (319 nucleotides) under uncultured eukaryote. RNAcentral's name for it is "partial 18S ribosomal RNA". It matches the Rfam family "Eukaryotic small subunit ribosomal RNA", at positions 1470 to 1796 of the family's 1831-position model. The record is from RNAcentral.
CCCUUAGAUGUUCAGGGCAGCACGCGCGCUACAAUGGUCUUCGCAAACGGAUGCAUUCUCGAAGGAGAAUGCCAAUCUUGGAAUCUAUGCCUUGGUCGGGACAGUUGCUUGCAAUUUUUCGACUCGAACCAGGAAUUCCUUGUAAUCGUGAUUCAUCACAUCACGAUGAAUACGUCCCUGCCCUUUGUACACACCGCCCGUCGCUCCUACCGAUCGAAGAGUUAGGUGAAUUGUUUUGAUCGAUAAGAUUUGACUAUGGUCAACUCUCGUUGUGAAAUUCUGUGAAUCUGACUGUUUAGAGGAAGGAAAAGUCGUAACA